CCAAUAAUUUAGCCCAAUCAACCCACCCACCUCCCCCACCCAACUAAAAUAUUUUAACAAUUUAGUAGAGAUGAUCAAAAAACUAACCGGAGCAAUAAAUAUGUACCGUAAGGGAAAAAUGAAAUAUAAUGAAAAUUCACAAGCACAAAAAAGUAGAGAUUAACCCUCGUACCUUUUGCAUCAUGGUUUAACUAGUUUAAUUAGGCAAAAAGACUUUAAGUCUAACCCCCCGAAACUAAGUGAGCUACUUCAGGACAGCUUAAAGAGCAAACCCGUCUCUGUCGCAAAAGAGUGGGAAGAGCCUCAAGUAGAGGUGACAAGCCUAACGAACUUUGUGAUAGCUGGUUACUCAAGAAAUGAAUUUAGUCCAACCUAAAAUUAGCCUAGUACAUUUUAAACGUAAACUCAAUUUUAGAGCAAUUCAAGUAAGGUACAGCUUACUUGAAACAGGACACAACCUCCAACAACGGGUAACAAUUAUUCUUUUCCCACCAUCAAGUUGGCUUAAAAGCAGCCACCUUUUAAAAAGCGUCAAAGCUUCCCAUCCUACCCCCCCCCACCCCGAACCCUUCACCCAUACUGAGUAAUUCUAUAAACCUAUAGAAUAUUUUAUGUUAAAACUAGUAACAAGAAGACGCACUUCUCUUUUAUAUAAAUGUGUGCUGACAAAACCCCCAUCAGCCCCUAACAGCCAUGAUGCUAAGUAGCACCUCCCCAAGAAGACCCUACUUAAAAUUCUGUCACCCUAACACAAGAAUAUACCAAGAAAGAUUAAAAGAAAAAGAAGGAACUCGGCAAACAUUGAUUCCGCCUGUUUACCAAAAACAUCGCCUCUUGCACCAUAUAAGAGGUCCAGCCUGCCCGGUGACUCUGUUUAACGGCCGCGGUAUCCUGACCGUGCGAAGGUAGCAUAAUCACUUGUCUUUUAAAUAAAGACUAGUAUGAAAGGCAUCACGAGAAUCCAGCUGUCUCCUAUUUCUAAUCAGUGAAACUAAUAUCCCAGUGAAAAAGCAGGGAUGAUUACGCAAGACGAGAAGACCCUAUGGAGCUUUAAACUAAAUGACAUCCACUCACAUCCACUAAAUUUCCUGAAAAAUCACCCCAUGAGUGAAUUGACCAUAAGUUUUUGGUUGGGGCGACCGCGGAGUAAAACCCACCCCCCGCAAUGAUAAAGGCUUAGCCUUAAGCUAAGAGCUACAGCUCAAAAAAUUAGUAUACUAACAUCAAUUGACCCAAUAUUCUUGAUCAACGAACCAAGUUACCCUAGGGAUAACAGCGCAAUCCGCUUCGAGAGUACAUAUCGACAAGCAGGUUUACGACCUCGAUGUUGGAUCAGGGCAUCCCGGUGGUGCAGCCGCUACUAAUGGUUCGUUUGUUCAACGAUUAAAGCCCUACGUGAUCUGAGUUCAGACCGAAGCAAUUCAGGUCGGUUUCUAUCUGCAAAGAGCUACUUCUAGUACGAAAGGACCGAAAAAGCACGGCCUAUGUAAUUUACAAGCCGCAUAUAAUAAUGUUUGAACCCCACUUAACACCUUAUUUUAUCUUAAACUGACUUCAAGACAAGAAAG
RNAcentral lists this ribosomal RNA (1568 nucleotides) under Tachiramantis lentiginosus. Its description in RNAcentral is "16S ribosomal RNA". It matches the Rfam family "Bacterial large subunit ribosomal RNA", at positions 372 to 2832 of the family's 2925-position model. Lineage: Eukaryota; Metazoa; Chordata; Amphibia; Anura; Strabomantidae. The record is from RNAcentral.